This is an RNA transcript of Amaranthus tricolor (Joseph's coat), 2118 nucleotides long. It is a transcript of the gene named protein SYM1, with no coding region annotated. Lineage: Eukaryota; Viridiplantae; Streptophyta; Magnoliopsida; Caryophyllales; Amaranthaceae. The transcript has 8 exons. The record is from RefSeq and is a predicted model, not a curated record.
GAAGAAGCUUUAGAUCGUUAUCAAACCCAUAAGUUACAAAAUGUCAAAACAAAAUUGUUAACUUUUAGCUUCAACAAUUUAUGGAUCACAAUUAUCUAGUGGACACCAAACUUGCACCACUACCAUAAAAACAAGAACAGGAAUCCCAAAUCUAAUCGGAGAAUCUCCUAAAAUCCUUGAUUCCGGAAUAUAAAAUCCAUACAAUUUCCCUUUCAUUAAUUUCCAAAUCGGAGAAAACACGUUGAUCAUCGUCCUCUGUUUUCCUCUAUCUCCAUUGGUGAUCAUUCAUCAAUGGCUUCCUUUAAGUUAAACCCAAUUUCACCUCAAUCGCUUCCUCCGCUUACCAAACCAUACAAACCCACAAAAACGCAAAGACCAACAACCCAUUUAACCUUCACUACCACUUCUCGCCGCCUUUCUUCAGUCAAUUCCGCCGUCUCGGGAAAGGAGUAUGAUGUGUUGCCGGUGAAAAGUCCAGAUUCAAUUGACCAACCUGAGGGAGUUAUGGUUAUUGGGCAAGAAAGAGAAAUGGUGAAUAGAAGUGCGGUUGUUGGUGGGUUUGAUGGGCAAUUGUCAUUGGAGAGUAUUUCUGGUGGUGGAGGUGAGGAUGGUAAUGGUAAAAAUGGUGGGGAAGGUCAAGAUUUGGAUAAAUUGAUUGAUAGAGCUAUCAAUGCUACUAUUGUUCUUGCUGCCGGUACUUUUGCUAUUACUAAAUUGCUUACUAUUGACCAUGAUUAUUGGCAUGGUUGGACUCUAUUUGAAAUACUAAGAUAUGCCCCACAACACAAUUGGAGUGCUUAUGAAGAGAUUCUUAAAACCAAUCCUGUGUUCGCCAAAAUGGUGAUUAGUGGAGUAGUGUACUCGUUGGGUGAUUGGAUAGCACAGUGUUAUGAAGGGAAACCUCUUUUUGGGUUUGAUCGUACCCGCAUGUUGAGAUCGGGGCUUACUGGAUUUGCUUUACAUGGUUCUCUUUCCCAUUACUAUUAUGAACUGUGUGAGGCAUUAUUCCCAUUUCAAGAUUGGUGGGUUGUUCCUUUAAAAGUUGCCUUCGAUCAAACUGUCUGGUCAGCGAUUUGGAAUAGCAUUUAUUUUGUAGUGUUGGGGUUUUUGCGAUUUGAAUCACCAGGUAGUAUCUUCAAGGAACUGAAGACAACGUUCUGGCCUAUGCUUACUGCUGGAUGGAAGCUAUGGCCUUUUGCUCAUCUUGCGACUUAUGGUGUCAUUCCUGUGGAACAAAGACUGCUUUGGGUUGAUUGUGUGGAGCUUAUAUGGGUCACUAUACUUUCAACGUUAUCAAAUGAAAAAUCGGAAGCAAGACUCUCAGAUGCAGCUGCCGAAACCACAAGCUCAAAUGCUUCUGAGGAGUGAGGAAAAUGUAAUGUGAUUGAAAAUUAAGAGAAUCCAAGAUUAUAAUGCGUACUUGUACGCAUCAAAUGAAAUCCGAAUCAGCUGAUCAGUAUGUGGUUGAUAAACAAUGCAAAUUUUUGGUACAUAAAAUGUACAAAAGGAGUUAACAACAUCUCCAAUUCGGAUUCGUAAGACAAAAGACAUGUAAAUUAAGCCAAUGCUAGUGACAUGAUAGAAAGACGACUUGGUGUAGGCUGAAAGUUUCUCCAACGCAAGGUGAGUCGUCUUGGUGGCGGAAACAAAGCUCUUCUGAUCAAUAGCUCUUUCAUCAGUUGUUGUUUACCGAGAUUAUCAGCAUACGUAUAGUCUUGUGAACGAAACAACGACAUUAAUGCUAAAACCUUCGAAGACGACUUUGUGGGUCCCAUUGAAGCUUUCCCUCUUCCCAUUCUCAUCUGCACUACUCUUCUUUGUUGUUCCUUGUUUGGUGGUGUUCUAAGUUAUGACCUUAUUGUUGUUGUAUAUAUAUACUACUAUGUGUGAAAGUAUAUGACCAAGUCACGUAGGGAUGACUUUGGCAAAAGGUUUGAACGAAUGAAAUGUAACAGAAAAAAGGAUAUGAAAAACUUAUUUGACCGGUAAUAAGUCGCAUAGGAAGACUUUAGCAAUAGGUUUGAAUGAUAAUUUUAAAAUGGGAACAUAAUUGACUAUUUUGUCAGGAAGGAACUAAGAAACCACUACAUUUUGACCGGUAAUAAGUCAUGAAUUUGG